This 197-nucleotide ribosomal RNA is filed under the name uncultured bacterium. Its description in RNAcentral is "partial 16S ribosomal RNA". It matches the Rfam family "Bacterial small subunit ribosomal RNA", at positions 326 to 539 of the family's 1533-position model. The record is from RNAcentral.
ACGAUCGACACCUACGGGGGCAGCAGUGGGGAAUAUUGCACAAUGGGGGAAACCCUGAUGCAGCGACGCCGCGUGAGUGAAGAAGUAAUUCGUUAUGUAAAGCUCUAUCAGCAGGGAAGAAAGUGACGGUACCUGAGUAAGAAGCCCCGGCUAACUACGUGCUAGCAGCCGCGGUAAUCUGAGCGGGCUGGCAAGGC